RNAcentral lists this ribosomal RNA (243 nucleotides) under uncultured bacterium. Its description in RNAcentral is "partial 16S ribosomal RNA". It matches the Rfam family "Bacterial small subunit ribosomal RNA", at positions 32 to 267 of the family's 1533-position model. The record is from RNAcentral.
AAUCAACGCUGGCGGCGUGCCUAACACAUGCAAGUCGAACGCGAAAGUUCCUUCGGGGAUGAGUAGAGUGGCGUCCGGGUGAGUAACGCGUGGGUAAUCUGCCUUUGGGGUGGGGGAUAACUCAGGGAAACGUUGGGCUAAUACCGCAUAAUGCAGCGGCUCGACAUCGAGACAGUUGUUAAAGCAGCAAUGCGCCUGAAGAGGAGCCUGCGUCUGAUUAGCAGUUGGUAAGGUAAUGGCUUA